This 138-nucleotide ribosomal RNA is filed under the name Acanthopleura spinosa. Its description in RNAcentral is "partial 5.8S rRNA". The stretch from base 27 to 138 matches the Rfam family "5.8S ribosomal RNA", at positions 1 to 113 of the family's 154-position model. Rfam says of the family: 5.8S ribosomal RNA (5.8S rRNA) is a component of the large subunit of the eukaryotic ribosome. Lineage: Eukaryota; Metazoa; Mollusca; Polyplacophora; Chitonida; Chitonidae. The record is from RNAcentral.
CUUCUGGAUUGCUUUGAGAGAGAGACUACUCUAUGCGGUGGAUCACUCGGCUCGUGUGUCGAUGAAGAGCGCAGCCAGCUGCGUGAAUUAAUGUGAAUUGCAGGACACGUUGAACAUCGACACUUCGAACGCACAUUG